UACGGAGGUGGCAAGCGUUGCUCGGAAUCACUGGGCGUAAAGGGCGCGUAGGCGGGGAGGUAAGUCGGGUGUGAAAUCCCUCGGCCCAACCGAGGAACUGCGCCCGAGACUGCUUCUCUUGAGUCCCGGAGAGGAAGAUGGAAUUCCCGGUGUAGCGGUGAAAUGUGUAGAGAUCGGGAGGAACACCGGUGGCGAAGGCGGUCUUCUGGACGGUGACUGACGCUGAGGCGCGAAAGCUAGGGGAGCAAACAGG
This 253-nucleotide ribosomal RNA is filed under the name uncultured bacterium. Its description in RNAcentral is "partial 16S ribosomal RNA". It matches the Rfam family "Bacterial small subunit ribosomal RNA", at positions 524 to 776 of the family's 1533-position model. The record is from RNAcentral.